AGCUUCAUGAAGUAUGAAAUUCUUACAGCAAGCCCACUCCUGAGCAGAAGGAGCAAUCAGGACAAGGUGAGGACAGCACAGCUCCGAGGCUUUAGGGGUUCCACAAGCCCACUGCAUGAAAACUGACAGAACUAAGAUCUGCUUCAGGAUUGCCUGACAUCAUAGGUAUUUCACAUUUGUGCAUUAAGAAAAUUAAAAA
Molecule: long non-coding RNA, 199 nt
Organism: Lutra lutra (Eurasian river otter)
Lineage: Eukaryota; Metazoa; Chordata; Mammalia; Carnivora; Mustelidae
Exons: 3
Source: RefSeq, a predicted model, not a curated record